GUCGGCAGCGGCGGCUUACCUGGGCGCUGCACUCUGGACCGCCGCCUAAUCAUCUGGCCUCAAGUCAGGCAGGACAGCUGGGCCCUCAAAGGACCCAGCGCAUCUGCACCGCUGCAGGAAGACGAAGAGGAGGAUGAAGGAGCAGGAACUAAUCGCUCUCCUCGUCUGAUGGGAUGUGCAUAACGAUCCGGCAUCCUGCACUGGCGAGGAGCGGCGGCGAUGUUCUGCAGGAUUAGAAACGUUGAUGUCUGAUCGGUAGUGAUGACGGCGAUGACAACCUGGCGCACGGCGGCGACGCGGGAGAGCAGAUGAUUCUCACAGAUGGUGGAGAAACUUAAAGCUGGCCAUGACUCAUCCCAGUCACCACCUCAACUUUGGCAUGAAUCCCGAUCACGCCCGCAACUCGCUGUCCAACUGUGGCAUCCGCCAACCGAAAUACGGCGACAGGAAGGUCCACCACAUGUACAUGAGGAAAAAAGUAAAACCAGGAGGCUGAAUGUGGAGGCGUUCCCAGUCCAGCCAGGAGACCUCCAGCGUGUCCUGGGCCUCCUCCCAGUGGGACGUGCCCAGAACACCUCACUAAGAACUGAAAUUU
This is a long non-coding RNA of Xiphophorus maculatus (southern platyfish), 595 nucleotides long. RefSeq lists it as uncharacterized. The transcript has 4 exons. Lineage: Eukaryota; Metazoa; Chordata; Actinopteri; Cyprinodontiformes; Poeciliidae. The record is from RefSeq and is a predicted model, not a curated record.